ACUCAGACUCUACCUUUGACCGAUAGUCUUUGACCAGCGAGACGUGUUCCUCGUUCUUGCGGCCUUCCUCUUUCUGCUCGAUCGAGGAGAUAAUACGCCACGCGGCGCGAAGAGAGCCGAUGACGUUCUUGUAAGCAACGGAGAGGAGGUUGCGCUCCUCGACGGUGAGUUCAGUCGCCGGAGUGGAGGAAGUGACGAGGCUGUCCAUGAACUUAACCAUCUCUUCAUAGCGCUCGGCUUGCUCGGCGAGUUUCGCCAGGUAAACGUAUUGCUCUCUCGUCGGGGUUCCCAUAGCAGAAUUGCAGAAACUGUAAAGUUAACUGGAGGGGAAUUGGAU
This 337-nucleotide long non-coding RNA is filed under the name Citrus sinensis (sweet orange). Its description in RNAcentral is "long non-coding RNA (CSIN_LNC000384)". Lineage: Eukaryota; Viridiplantae; Streptophyta; Magnoliopsida; Sapindales; Rutaceae. The record is from RNAcentral.